GAUGAAGAACGUAGCGAAAUGCGAUAAGUAAUGUGAAUUGCAGAAUUCAGUGAAUCAUCGAAUCUUUGAACGCACAUUGCGCCCGCCAGUAUUCUGGCGGGCAUGCCUGUUCGAGCGUCAUUUCAACCCUCAGGCCCCCAGUGCCUGGUGUUGGGGAUCGGCCCAGCCUUCCUGUAAGGCCGCCGGCCCCGAAAUCUAGUGGCGGUCUCGCUGUAGUCCUCCUCUGCGUAGUAGCACAACCUCGCAGUUGGAACGCGGCGGUGGCCAUGCCGUUAAAAACCCCACUUCUGAAAGUUGACCUCGGAUCAGGUAGGAAUACCCGCUGAACUUAAGCAUAUCAAUAAGCGGAGGA
RNAcentral lists this unclassified non-coding RNA (352 nucleotides) under soil metagenome. Its description in RNAcentral is "partial contains 5.8S ribosomal RNA, internal transcribed spacer 2, and large subunit ribosomal RNA". The stretch from base 1 to 120 matches the Rfam family "5.8S ribosomal RNA", at positions 35 to 154 of the family's 154-position model. The record is from RNAcentral.